Long non-coding RNA from Cercocebus atys (sooty mangabey), 1488 nucleotides. RefSeq lists it as uncharacterized. Lineage: Eukaryota; Metazoa; Chordata; Mammalia; Primates; Cercopithecidae. The record is from RefSeq and is a predicted model, not a curated record. The transcript has 3 exons.
UUGAAUGUUUUUACCUUCCAGUGUUGUCUUAGCUUCUGAGAUAGGCAGUUGCAUUUGGUAGCAACACCAUCACUGAUUCAUUUAAUCAAAAGAUAUUUACUGAGUGCCUGCAAGGUCUUGGGACUGGAGGUUGACAGUCUGGUCAGAGAAGCAGACACAAAUUACAGUAAAAUAAUGGGCUGAAGAAAAUGCAUUUGAUUCUGUGAGUGUGUAUCUUAUAUAAAAGAACAUGGGCUAGGGAAAACUUCUCUGCUGUUUGAACAGAGACAAAGGGUGAGUGGACAUUAACUAAGAAAAGGGCUGGGGAAGGGCAGAGAAGAGUGUCCUAGGCUGAACAGCGCGGUGUCGAGCCCUGUGUACAACACGAACAAGGUGUGCUGGUGUCCCAGAAGUGCCAGCAGGUCAACGUGACUGCAGCUCCCCAAGCAAGGCAGUGACUCAGGGGCCCAAGAGGUUUCAUCUGAGGUUCCUUAGUUGUGAUGGCAGAGGAAAGUGAGACCGAAGAACUUCCCAUGGGCUUGUCAGUACUGCAGCUUGGAAGUGACUCACAAUGCUUUCUCUCAGGACUAAUCACACAGCCUCGCCUACAACAAAAAAACUAGCAAAUGUGAGGAAGCACAUGGAAUAUUUGAAAGUGUCGAAGAGGAAAUACCCAAACUCCCAGCUUCCCUGCAGCUGGGGGUGGCCAGAAAACUCAGCUAUGGCCAAUGAGAUGUAAGCACCUGUCUUUGACUUUUCCAAAUAAAAAGGCAAAGCUUCUAAGCCACAAGUCCUUGCUCCUCUCUCUCUGUCUGCCCCGCUCUCUCGUCUUGCCUGGAACUUAACUGUGAGGCUGGAGGUAGAGCAGCCCUCUUGAUGUCAUGAGGCAACAAGCACAAGGUUCACAGCUAAGGUUGAUGACGUGGCAGGAAAGAAAGAGCUGGGUGCUUGAUGACCUUGUUGAGCUACUGUUUUACUCCAGGGCUACCUGGCCAGGAGUUUAUUGUUGUGUGAGACAAGUACCUCAUUGCUGGUAUUCACUUGUGUUUGUUAGGGUCGGUCUUUGCUAUACGAAACUGACGGAAUCAGUAAUAGCUAUCAAUAUUGUCAUCCUCAUCAUCAUUAUAAAUGUUCUCCUACAACUUCAACACCCUCAGGCUCACAGCUGUAGAUUUUACUAUCUAAUUGGGGAGCCAAUUAAGAUUUAUUAAUCAAAUCCUUAAAGUAGCAUUUCCCAGGGAGUAUUCCAAGAAUGUUGGCUCUUACAGAUAUUAAUAGGUCUUCUGAGAAAAAAAUAAAUUAAAAAAAGCUCUAUUGUCAAGUUAACAAAUGACGAUACUUGGCAGAAAUCUUUGUAACAGUGGUUUUCGAAUUGGUAUACUAUUUAAGGACUUUCCAAAGGAUUUUAAAGAAUCAAUUACAGAUCCUGAACUAUGAUAAGUACACUUUCCAAAAAUUAGUAUGUGUGAGGACUCUUUCUUCUGGUCCUCCUCUCCUUCCUGUUCCCUC